Molecule: small nucleolar RNA, 90 nt
Organism: Stegostoma tigrinum
Lineage: Eukaryota; Metazoa; Chordata; Chondrichthyes; Orectolobiformes; Stegostomatidae
Product: small nucleolar RNA SNORD60
Exons: 1
Source: RefSeq, a predicted model, not a curated record
AGCCUGUGAUGAGCCUUUCUCUAUUUCUGACAUCUCCACUGAAAGUGUUGCAUUCAGCAAUAUUUGAUUAGAGUUUUCUGGCUGAGGCUC